This 229-nucleotide ribosomal RNA is filed under the name uncultured bacterium. RNAcentral's name for it is "partial 16S ribosomal RNA". It matches the Rfam family "Bacterial small subunit ribosomal RNA", at positions 568 to 796 of the family's 1533-position model. The record is from RNAcentral.
CAUGUAGGCGGGAUGGUCAGUCAGUGGUGAAAUCUCUCGGCUUAACCGAGAAACUGCUACUGAUACUGCCAUUCUUGAGUGCGGAAGAGGGAAGUGGAAUUCCAGGUGUAGCGGUGAAAUGCGUAGAUAUCUGGAAGAACACCAGUAGCGAAGGCGACUUCCUGGUCCGUCACUGACGCUGAGAUGCGAAAGCGUGGGGAGCAAACAGGAUUAGAUACCCUGGUAGUCC